AAUUACAAAUCUUCGAAAAGCUUCGAAGCUUCUUAUCGCAGCUCCUACAGUUGACGAUACAUCUUUAAAAGUCUAAAUUCAUAAAUCCCCAAAUCGUCCGGAACAUUAUCCAUCAAACCGUAUUGGACAAAGACCGUGAAUCAUUGGAUUCGAAUUGAAGGAUUCGUUGGGCCAUUGUCAAUUAUAAGAAAUCGGUCUGGAAAUGGCGCGAUUCGGAAUUCAGCUUGCGUGUUGGGAAGCUGCGAAUGCGUCCCACGUAGAACGAAGCUGCGCAUUCUCGAUAUUCAGAAGUCACACCGGCCAGUGCGAGAGCCCCGUACUGUUUCCGUAAAAUGUUUGUAAAGUAAGGAACCAGAGGUCGCUCGCGUAUAUUAAGCUAUACUUUGGUUGCUCGUCUCGCGAGGAGAACACCGGCGAACCAUGAGACGAGCGAACGGAAUGUUCGAUCGCCGAGGAUUCUUAAUGAAACUUCGACCAGCUCGAACAGAAAAAGCGUAAAAAAAAGCCGCGAUAUUACGUCGAGCGAACUUUCAGCCGCGGCCGCGUCGAUCCUCACCUUCUUACAUCAUCGCUUUCGUUUUCUAUUCGCACCGGGCGGAAUCGUAAAUGCGAUUUAAACGAUGCUUCAAGGAGUUUACGUUUGAUCAGCGGGGACGUUAUCAUCGAUGCAUCGGAAAGAUGUUUGCCACCGGAUGGCCCAGAUUCACAGGCUUUAUUCAAGAGGGAAAUUAAACAAGUCUUACUCCAGUGAAUCGAAUCCCGUUACUGCGUAUAAUUCUGUAACGGUUUGAGACUUGAACGGGUAAUUGCAAGUGAAUAACGCCAGAGGCAGCUUGUGCGCGUGUAUUCGAAAACAGCCUGAAAAUAUCGAGAAAUGAGCGCGACUUAGGAAAAAGAAGUAAUUAAUACCGCUUUCACGUCAGAACGAUCCCAAUGGCUGAUUGAAAUGAAAAUUGGGUGUGGUUCUAGAUAUCAAGACUUAACAGAGAUAGUUCAUGUACCAAAAUUACAUACAUUGAGGUUUGCUUCUCAAGUUUGAAGAAUUCGGUUUGAUGUUUUGGCUUUCUUUACAAUAAAAUAGAAUUAUAUCGUAAAGCAGAUUUAACGUGAUCUAUAGUUGAUAUAACAUUGAUAUAAUAUUUUACAAAUUUGCUACGUGUAAUAAUUUUGAUAAAAAGGUAUGUAUCGAUAGAACAAGUUUCAAUUCUUAUUUCAUAUAUGAAUUUGAAAAAAGAAGAUAGUAUAUUACAUAAACAUCCUUCGAGUUAUACGCUGAUACAGCGUAAUAGUAUAAAAAAGUGUACUUUGAUACUAAAGUUUUCAAUGUACGAUCAUUUGUUUCUGAAAUUUUGAGAUGUAAGUGAAUCCUUAACUGUUUGUCAAGCGUAAUGCAGGUGUGGUCAGUAUUUACUUUGCCGACCCUGUUUUCGAUAUGUUUUCAAUGACUAUUCUCGACGAUACAUGGAUACGUCGUCGAUAGAUAAUUUAUUCUUUCGUAUUGCAACUUACUCAACCUAAAUAAAUCCGUUUAAAUAACCUAACCUAAUUUCAAUUUGUAAUCGUGGGAGAUAAAUGAAGAGAAUAGCAAGGUUAGAAUUAGUCGAUGAUUAUGAUAUCGUAGUUUCCAUAUUGAACACGAGUGAGUCGGUAUCCAAUCGAUUUAAAGAUGAAUUUGCGACCGGCUGCUGACGUCAUAAGGACGCUUCCGGAGUUGUGUCUUGAAUCGUUCACGAAUAUUAAAUCUAUGUAUACAUAUUUUGAAAUUAUAGAAAGUUCUCUGAUAGUUACAUUAAUACGUUGAUUUAUGAGCUUAAUCAAUUAUUAAGGCAUAAAAUUGAAUUAAUUAUUAUUGUAGUAUCGUUUAGGGAUUU
This is a long non-coding RNA of Frieseomelitta varia, 1871 nucleotides long. RefSeq lists it as uncharacterized. The record is from RefSeq and is a predicted model, not a curated record. The transcript is spliced from 3 exons. Lineage: Eukaryota; Metazoa; Arthropoda; Insecta; Hymenoptera; Apidae.